Molecule: ribosomal RNA, 1552 nt
Filed under: Vibrio parahaemolyticus
Lineage: Bacteria; Pseudomonadati; Pseudomonadota; Gammaproteobacteria; Vibrionales; Vibrionaceae
Description: bacterial SSU rRNA
Rfam family: Bacterial small subunit ribosomal RNA
Source: RNAcentral
AAAUUGAAGAGUUUGAUCAUGGCUCAGAUUGAACGCUGGCGGCAGGCCUAACACAUGCAAGUCGAGCGGAAACGAGUUAUCUGAACCUUCGGGGGACGAUAACGGCGUCGAGCGGCGGACGGGUGAGUAAUGCCUAGGAAAUUGCCCUGAUGUGGGGGAUAACCAUUGGAAACGAUGGCUAAUACCGCAUGAUGCCUACGGGCCAAAGAGGGGGACCUUCGGGCCUCUCGCGUCAGGAUAUGCCUAGGUGGGAUUAGCUAGUUGGUGAGGUAAUGGCUCACCAAGGCGACGAUCCCUAGCUGGUCUGAGAGGAUGAUCAGCCACACUGGAACUGAGACACGGUCCAGACUCCUACGGGAGGCAGCAGUGGGGAAUAUUGCACAAUGGGCGCAAGCCUGAUGCAGCCAUGCCGCGUGUGUGAAGAAGGCCUUCGGGUUGUAAAGCACUUUCAGUCGUGAGGAAGGUAGUGUAGUUAAUAGCUGCAUUAUUUGACGUUAGCGACAGAAGAAGCACCGGCUAACUCCGUGCCAGCAGCCGCGGUAAUACGGAGGGUGCGAGCGUUAAUCGGAAUUACUGGGCGUAAAGCGCAUGCAGGUGGUUUGUUAAGUCAGAUGUGAAAGCCCGGGGCUCAACCUCGGAAUUGCAUUUGAAACUGGCAGACUAGAGUACUGUAGAGGGGGUAGAAUUUCAGGUGUAGCGGUGAAAUGCGUAGAGAUCUGAAGGAAUACCGGUGGCGAAGGCGGCCCCCUGGACAGAUACUGACACUCAGAUGCGAAAGCGUGGGGAGCAAACAGGAUUAGAUACCCUGGUAGUCCACGCCGUAAACGAUGUCUACUUGGAGGUUGUGGCCUUGAGCCGUGGCUUUCGGAGCUAACGCGUUAAGUAGACCGCCUGGGGAGUACGGUCGCAAGAUUAAAACUCAAAUGAAUUGACGGGGGCCCGCACAAGCGGUGGAGCAUGUGGUUUAAUUCGAUGCAACGCGAAGAACCUUACCUACUCUUGACAUCCAGAGAACUUUCCAGAGAUGGAUUGGUGCCUUCGGGAACUCUGAGACAGGUGCUGCAUGGCUGUCGUCAGCUCGUGUUGUGAAAUGUUGGGUUAAGUCCCGCAACGAGCGCAACCCUUAUCCUUGUUUGCCAGCGAGUAAUGUCGGGAACUCCAGGGAGACUGCCGGUGAUAAACCGGAGGAAGGUGGGGACGACGUCAAGUCAUCAUGGCCCUUACGAGUAGGGCUACACACGUGCUACAAUGGCGCAUACAGAGGGCAGCCAACUUGCGAAAGUGAGCGAAUCCCAAAAAGUGCGUCGUAGUCCGGAUUGGAGUCUGCAACUCGACUCCAUGAAGUCGGAAUCGCUAGUAAUCGUGGAUCAGAAUGCCACGGUGAAUACGUUCCCGGGCCUUGUACACACCGCCCGUCACACCAUGGGAGUGGGCUGCAAAAGAAGUAGGUAGUUUAACCUUCGGGGGGACGCUUACCACUUUGUGGUUCAUGACUGGGGUGAAGUCGUAACAAGGUAGCGCUAGGGGAACCUGGCGCUGGAUCACCUCCUUA